UAUCCCGGAAUCUACGGCCAUCCUCCACUGGGCUCCGCCCCUUUGAUCAAUGAUCUCUCCCUCACACUCUUCCCCGGAGACCGCUGCCUUCUAGUGGGCUCCAAUGGAGCUGGGAAAACAACAAUCUUGAAGAUAAUAGGAGGGAAGCAGUUGGUGGACCAAGAUAUGGUGAGGGUGCUGGGAAGAUCAGCAUUCCACGACACCUCUUUGACUGCCUUGGGUGAUCUUUCUUACCUUGGUGGUGAGUGGAGACGUGAAGUUGCUUUUGCUGGUUUGAGAUUCCCAAUCAGAUGGAUGUUUCUGCUGAGAAAAUGAUUUAUACCCAGAGACGAGAUGAACUAAUAAAGGGAAAAAGAUAAUAUUCCUUUACGACAUCAAGGUCAGCAUCUGUUUCAAGCAUGGGGCAGACUGCAGAGAGUGCCUAGGAUCAAGGUUUGAUCAAGGAGCCUAAGUAGGAUCCAUUUCAAUGUACUCAUAGAUGAGAUGAACCUGGGAUCUUGCGUAUCAGUCCUCGUAUUUCAAUGUACUCACAGAUAUAUUGUUGUUUAUUUCUUUUCUUUAAAUAAUAAAGGCUGCAUGUAGCCUAUAUACUUUACUAAUAGAAGUUUCUAAUGGAUUGUCUUUCAAGCAAGCAGUACUUAGUCAAAUGACAUUCAACAUCACUAAACAUUAAAAUUGAUCCACCCUGAAAGGAGGGAUGCAUUAUCAUUCCAGAAAUAAGCAAGCCAAAGUGGCAUAAUGCUGAAACAGUAUAAGCUCAGCUGAACAUAGUACCAGAUAACUAUCUA
Long non-coding RNA from Sesamum indicum (sesame), 788 nucleotides. RefSeq lists it as uncharacterized. NCBI's taxonomy places the organism in Eukaryota, Viridiplantae, Streptophyta, Magnoliopsida, Lamiales, Pedaliaceae. The record is from RefSeq and is a predicted model, not a curated record.